RNAcentral lists this ribosomal RNA (151 nucleotides) under Gemmula diomedea. Its description in RNAcentral is "partial large subunit ribosomal RNA". The record is from RNAcentral. Lineage: Eukaryota; Metazoa; Mollusca; Gastropoda; Neogastropoda; Turridae.
AAUUAAAAUAAACUAUGAAUGAUUUAAUUCGAAAUCUUUACAAUUAAAACAUUAUUAAAUUUAGUAAAGGAGAUUAAAAAUUAUUUUAUAUCUUUAGUUAAAGUACUGUGAAGGAAUAACCUUAAUUACAUAAAAGAAAAAAUUUAAUUUU